This 468-nucleotide ribosomal RNA is filed under the name uncultured bacterium. RNAcentral describes it as "partial 16S ribosomal RNA". It matches the Rfam family "Bacterial small subunit ribosomal RNA", at positions 28 to 507 of the family's 1533-position model. The record is from RNAcentral.
GACGAACGCUGGCGGCGUGCUUAACACAUGCAAGUCGAACGGAAAGGCCCUGCUUUUGUGGGGUGCUCGAGUGGCGAACGGGUGAGUAACACGUGAGUAACCUGCCCUUGACUUUGGGAUAACUUCAGGAAACUGGGGCUAAUACCGGAUAGGAGCUCCUGCUGCAUGGUGGGGGUUGGAAAGUUUCGGCGGUUGGGGAUGGACUCGCGGCUUAUCAGCUUGUUGGUGGGGUAGUGGUUUACCAAGGCUUUGACGGGUAGCCGGCCUGAGGGGGUGACCGGCUACAUUGGGACUGAGAUACGGCCCAGACUCCUACGGGAGGCAGCAGUGGGGAAUAUUGCACAAUGGGCGGAAGCCUGAUGCAGCAACGCCGCGUGCGGGAUGACGGCCUUCGGGUUGUAAACCGCUUUCGCCUGUGACGAAGCGUGAGUGACGGUAAUGGGUAAAGAAGCACCGGCUAACUACGUG